CCGAGCGCCUGCUCGCCGCGCGACCUACACACGCUUCCCGAUCACCGCAUCGUUUGACAUUUCAGACGCAUCGCGCGUCAACACCACGACAAACUAAAGUAACUACCGGAAUUGCUCCAGUGCUAUAAACUUUCCCUUAUUGAAUCUGAAUGAAUUUAAAGACGUUAAAAUUAUAUAGAUUUACAGAUAAUUAAAAAAAGUUAUUAAAGUUUGAAUAAGAAUCAGAGGAUUUUUAAAUAAUUAUGUAUAAAAGAUGUGGUAUGUGGCGUUGUUUUUGGGAAUAAAUUAUUAUGUGUUAAAAUAUUGAUAGUGAUAAGAGCUGUGACUUAAAAACGAACCUUUGGAAAGUUGCUCACGAGUUUACGGCUCGUUAAUUCUGCAGAUAGUGAAACCGAAAAGAGAUCUUUGCAGCGUCCGCUCAUCGAAGUGAUAAAAUUUAUGACGUACGAGUUAUGGUGACUACGGCUCCGGAAACAGUUAUUACCACAAUAAGAAAAUGAUCCGGUGGCGAGCACGAGGGAAGCAUAUCUCAGGAUGAGCGGGCAGCGUGUGGGGCAGAGCGUGGGGCGGUGCGCGAGCGCGAGUGCGCCGCGGAGAGCGUGAUGCGCUGCGGCUGGGGGGCGCCGGCCGCGCCCGCGC
Molecule: long non-coding RNA, 639 nt
Organism: Papilio polytes (common Mormon)
Lineage: Eukaryota; Metazoa; Arthropoda; Insecta; Lepidoptera; Papilionidae
Exons: 3
Source: RefSeq, a predicted model, not a curated record